Molecule: transfer RNA, 86 nt
Filed under: Planctomycetes bacterium ADurb.Bin069
Lineage: Bacteria; Pseudomonadati; Planctomycetota
Also listed under: 1 other name
Description: tRNA-Leu
Rfam family: tRNA
About the family: Transfer RNA (tRNA) molecules are approximately 80 nucleotides in length. Their secondary structure includes four short double-helical elements and three loops (D, anti-codon, and T loops).
Source: RNAcentral
GGGCUAGUGGCGGAAACGGCAUACGCGUGGGACUUAAAAUCCCAUGCCUGGUUCCAGGCUUGAGGGUUCGAUUCCCUCCUAGCCCA